UACCAAUAAAGCAACGAUCUUAUCAUUGAG
RNAcentral lists this non-coding RNA (30 nucleotides) under Rattus norvegicus (Norway rat). The record is from RNAcentral. Lineage: Eukaryota; Metazoa; Chordata; Mammalia; Rodentia; Muridae.